Orbilia brochopaga is the source of this 93-nucleotide non-coding RNA. Lineage: Eukaryota; Fungi; Ascomycota; Orbiliomycetes; Orbiliales; Orbiliaceae. The record is from the annotation of a GenBank genome assembly.
GCCGGCAUAGUAUAGUGGUCAGUACACAUCGUUGUGGUAUCGCAAGAUAUAAGCAAAUCCGAUGUAACCUCAGUUCGAUUCUGAGUGCCGGCA